CGAUUGACGGAGCGAAGCGACGUCAAAGCGUAUACAAAGUCGAGUCGGUUUAAGGAUACGUUCGUUGGGUAGGGGAGCGUUCUGUAAGCCUGCGAAGGUGGCCUGUGAGGGUUGCUGGAGGUAUCAGAAGUGCGAAUGCUGACAUAAGUAACGAUAAAGCGGGUGAAAAGCCCGCUCGCCGGAAGACCAAGGGUUCCUGUCCAACGUUAAUCGGGGCAGGGUGAGUCGACCCCUAAGGCGAGGCCGAAAGGCGUAGUCGAUGGGAAACGGGUUAAUAUUCCCGUACUUGGUGUUACUGCGAAGGGGGGACGGAGAAGGCUAUGUUGGCCGGGCGACGGUUGUCCCGGUUUAAGCGUGUAGGUGUGUGUUCCAGGUAAAUCCGGUUCACUUUAACACUGAGGCGUGACGACGAGGCACUACGGUGCUGAAGCAACAAAUGCCCUGCUUCCAGGAAAAGCCUCUAAGCAUCAGGUAACAUCAAAUCGUACCCCAAACCGACACAGGUGGUCAGGUAGAGAAUACCAAGGCGCUUGAGAGAACUCGGGUGAAGGAACUAGGCAAAAUGGUGCCGUAACUUCGGGAGAAGGCACGCUGACACGUAGGUGAAGUGAUUUACUCAUGGAGCUGAAGUCAGUCGAAGAUACCAGCUGGCUGCAACUGUUUAUUAAAAACACAGCACUGUGCAAACACGAAAGUGGACGUAUACGGUGUGACGCCUGCCCGGUGCCGGAAGGUUAAUUGAUGGGGU
Molecule: ribosomal RNA, 748 nt
Filed under: Salmonella enterica subsp. enterica serovar Agona
Lineage: Bacteria; Pseudomonadati; Pseudomonadota; Gammaproteobacteria; Enterobacterales; Enterobacteriaceae
Description: partial 23S ribosomal RNA
Rfam family: Bacterial large subunit ribosomal RNA
Source: RNAcentral